AAGACUAUACUUUCAGAACAUUUUUAUAGUUUGUUACUAGAGAAGUUUCUCUGAUCAUGUAGAGCACCGAAAACCAUGAGGAGCCACAGUAUCCUCUCCCGCAUGUGAAGCCGGUUCUAGGUGUUGCUUUCACAACCACCUUUUACCAUUGAGAUGGUUUUUCUCUUCCUUUUGUAAGAGUGAGAGGGGGAGGGUGUAGAAUAUAAGGC
Small nucleolar RNA from Sorex fumeus (smoky shrew), 209 nucleotides. RefSeq annotates it as small nucleolar RNA U3. Lineage: Eukaryota; Metazoa; Chordata; Mammalia; Eulipotyphla; Soricidae. The record is from RefSeq and is a predicted model, not a curated record. The transcript has a single exon.